Molecule: long non-coding RNA, 1318 nt
Filed under: Olea europaea subsp. europaea
Lineage: Eukaryota; Viridiplantae; Streptophyta; Magnoliopsida; Lamiales; Oleaceae
Source: RNAcentral
UCACGAAUCAAAAAUUUUAUAGAUCAUAAUUUAUUAAUUGAUCACAAAUCAAAAUAUUUUAUACGUCACAACUCAUUUAUCGAUCACAGAUUAUCAAAUUAAUUGAUCACAAUUCACCAAAUUCUAAGUCAUAAUUACAAAUUUCACAAUCACAAAUUCCUCUUGGUCACGUAUUAUUUAUUAACCACAAAUUAAUAAUUUAUUGAUCACAACACUCAAAUAAUUGGUUAGAGACUCUUUUCUUACCCCCACAACACCCUCUUCAAAACCACCACCAUCUCAUCAGCAUCACCAUAGCACUCGCGAAACCACCACCGCACAGUGCACCACCACACCCACCUCAGCACGCCACACCCACGGCACACCACCAUCACAUACAGCACAACAACAAUACACCACUAUAUCCACAACAUAUUGUUAUUUAUUAGUUACAAAUUAAUCAAUUUAUUAAUAACAAUCACCAAAAUAAUUAGUCAUAAACACUCAUCCCAUUCCACCCCAAUCCCAAACCUAAACCCAACCCAAAACCCAAAUCCAAACCCAAUUCACCACCUACACCAACGAACUACUGCACGAACUCACUACCACUUGAACCACUACUGCCAGUACUAUCACCACCUGCUCCUCCAUCAUUAGCAUUGUCGCGCCGCCACCACCUACACCAUCUCCGCCAGCGCCACCAUUACUAGCACCACACUGUCAAAAUUCACAACAACAACAACAACCACCAGCACCACCACCUUGCCGACAGCACCAUAACCAACACCCAAAGCAACCCCAAACAAAAUGGAGAAAGACACACCACCAUUUACAAAUACAAUGCCGUGCGAUCAAUUCAAAAGCACUCAUAAAUCAUAGCGCCACUCACCUAAAACUCCCACAACGCAGAUCAAAGGAGGAGCAUCGCGAUCCUAGCUUGGUGCUGUGUGUGGUAAUGGCCACGAGGGCGCGACGCAGCUGCACAGAGGCUCUGGCCCUUGUGCAGCAUCGGCGCUCUCUAUCGGGGACACUGCUAUCGCAGCGGUCAACGAUGGUUACCUUUUGGCGACAGGCGAAGUUGGCAGGCGAUGAUGUGUGCUAAAGGGAUAGAAGAGAAAAGGAGGCAUGUAAUUUCCACAAUUGGGAAUUCAACUUCUCUAGAACUAAAUGGGCUUCCAAUCCUUAAGUUAUGGGCCAGAAUUGGAUAUAUGGAGAACAGGAAAGUGGAAAUUACACUGUAGCAUGUACUUGAAGAUCACAUUUCAAAAAUCUUGUAUAAAGUUUGUUUAAUCAAAAAUCAGGUUUCAAUUUAAUUAUUAAUAUUAUAAAAUUAAUUAAG